AUUGAACGCUGGCGGCAUGCCUUACACAUGCAAGUCGAACGGCAGCACGGGGGCGAACCCUGGUGGCGAGUGGCGAACGGGUGAGUAAUGCAUCGGAACGUGUCCUCUUGUGGGGGAUAACCAGUCGAAAGAUUGGCUAAUACCGCAUGAGAUCGAGAGAUGAAAGCGGGGGACCGCAAGGCCUCGCGCGAGAGGAGCGGCCGAUGCCGGAUUAGCAGUUGGUGGGGUAAAGCCUACCAAGGCGACGAUCCGUAGCUGGUCUGAGAGGACGACCAGCCACACUGGGACUGAGACACGGCCCAGACUCCUACGGAGGCAGCAGUGGGGAAUUUUGGACAAUGGGCGCAAGCCUGAUCCAGCCAUGCCGCGUGUGUGAAGAA
Molecule: ribosomal RNA, 380 nt
Filed under: uncultured bacterium
Lineage: Bacteria
Description: bacterial SSU rRNA
Rfam family: Bacterial small subunit ribosomal RNA
Source: RNAcentral